RNAcentral lists this ribosomal RNA (453 nucleotides) under uncultured bacterium. Its description in RNAcentral is "bacterial SSU rRNA". It matches the Rfam family "Bacterial small subunit ribosomal RNA", at positions 123 to 572 of the family's 1533-position model. The record is from RNAcentral.
AAUCUACCUUAUACAGGGGAAUAGCCCCUUUAAAUUUGGAUUAAUGCCCCAUAGUGUUAUUGAAUCGCAUGGUUUAAUAACUAAAGUUCCAACGGUAUAAGAUCAGCAUGCGUCCCAUUAUUUAGUUGGUAAGGUAACGGGUUAGGGAGACAAUGAUGGGUAGGGGUCCUGAGAGGGAGAUCCCCCACACUGGUACUGAGACACGGACCAGACUCCUACGGGAGGCAGCAGUGAGGAAUAUUGGUCAAUGGGCGCAAGCCUGAACCAGCCAUGCCGCGUGCAGGAAGACGGUCCUAUGGAUUGUAAACUGCUUUUAUACAGGAAGAAAUUUUCUCUACGUGUAGAGUCUUGACGGUACUGGAGGAAUAAGGAUCGGCUAACUCCGUGCCAGCAGCCGCGGUAAUACGGAGGAUCCAAGCGUUUAUCCGGAAUCAUUGGGUUUAAAGGGUCCGU